UACGGAGGGUGCAAGCGUUGUUCGGAAUCACUGGGCGUAAAGGGCGCGCAGGCGGCCUGAUCAGUCAGAUGUGAAAGCCCACGGCUUAACCGUGGAAGUGCAUUUGAAACUGUCAGGCUUGAGUACCAGAGGGGAAAGUGGAAUUCCCGGUGUAGAGGUGAAAUUCGUAGAUAUCGGGAGGAAUACCGGUGGCGAAGGCGACUUUCUGGCUGGAUACUGACGCUGAGGCGCGAAAGCGUGGGGAGGCAAACAGGAUUAGAUACCCUGGUA
RNAcentral lists this ribosomal RNA (270 nucleotides) under uncultured prokaryote. RNAcentral describes it as "partial 16S ribosomal RNA". It matches the Rfam family "Bacterial small subunit ribosomal RNA", at positions 524 to 792 of the family's 1533-position model. The record is from RNAcentral.